GAUGAAGAACGUAGCGAAAUGCGAUAAGUAAUGUGAAUUGCAGAAUUCAGUGAAUCAUCGAAUCUUUGAACGCACAUUGCGCCUGCCAGCACUCUGGCAGGCAUGCCUGUUCGAGCGUCAUUUCAACCAUCAAGCCCUAGGCUUGCGUUGGAGCCCUGCGGCUGCCGCAGGCCCCUAAAAGCAGUGGCGGGCUCGCUAUCACACCGAGUGCAGUAGAUUACUCUUCGCUCAGGGCGUGUGGCGGGUUCCAGCCGUGAAACCCCCUACUUCUCAAGGUUGACCUCGGAUCAGGUAGUAAUACCCGCUGAACUUAAGCAUAUCAUAAGCGGAGGA
RNAcentral lists this unclassified non-coding RNA (333 nucleotides) under soil metagenome. RNAcentral's name for it is "partial contains 5.8S ribosomal RNA, internal transcribed spacer 2, and large subunit ribosomal RNA". The stretch from base 1 to 120 matches the Rfam family "5.8S ribosomal RNA", at positions 35 to 154 of the family's 154-position model. The record is from RNAcentral.